GUUCAAGUGCAGGUCGAACAGAAGAUCUUAAACCUGCCCUGUUGAUCUGAUCACUGAAAAUUUUUAGUUUGCGUGACAUUUCUGCACAUCGCUUUACCUGCAAUGGAAUUAAGAUGUGUUUGUCAACAUAACUAAAAAGUUAGUGAGACCAGAGAUUUUUAAAUAUCAGCAACAGCCCAAACAAUAAGUUUUAGUACUGUCCGCUUCAUCAUCAUAUUGUUUAUGUACUGUGCUAUUUUUAGAGGAUGUGAAGUCUGGUUCUAAUUUCCUAUCAUCUACCAUACUGUACUCAGUGCUAUGAGCAUAUUUUAACUGGUAACUUGAUUGGCAAUCCAGUACUCAUGAUAUCAAAUAGCAUAAUGCAAUGAGUAGAUUAACCCCUUUUCCCCACAGUUGUCUACUGGGCAAAUCACUAUAUAAUCCACACCAAUCCUGAAAUGACCAUCCCUUAUACUGUAAAAUAGCCUCUACUAAAAGCAAACCACUCAGAGCAUCACCUACUGCCUGAUUGAUCAGCUGACUCGCUGCCAACAAUCUCAUUACAGCGUGGUACUGUGCUGAUUGCUGAACCUAGAAAGGGCAUUAGACCAACCGCAUCAAAUAAACUGUUGAAAGGGAGAAUAAGGACGUAAAACAGAUAGUAAGAGCGUACCAAUGUCAGCUUGAGAGGAGAGCUCAUUGCUUAAUGACUCUAGCUAAGAGAUGAAAUCCUCUGAGAAUACCACAGUCCCAUGCCCAUUUGCCUCAAAGUAUAUACCAAUGUCAUACUCCAAGGCCCUUUUGUGCAGAUAUUUCACUCCUGUAGGAGUGAACACCACUUCGAGGCCAAGGCUCUUCAGAAACUGCGUCGACGCCCCAUUCGCAUAAGCUGUCUGAACUAUUCCAAGCCUUGCAGACAAUGACUUGUUUGCUUGGCCACCAUUGUUAUUAACGAUAUCUAGCUGCUCUCUGAUAAAAAGGGCAAACAGAGAUAGUAUCUUAUCUCCAUCAACAAGAUCAACCCAAAAAUACACUGCAUAUGUGUUUACCAAAAAUCUUGCUUCCCAGCUGCUUCCAAUAACUUUGGGAAACAAAGAAAGUUAAAAGUAUUAACCUUAACCAUUUGAUAGUCAACACAAAGAGAAACAUAUAUCCUUAAAUUCGACGUAUGGCUGGUUGACAAAUACCUGGUUGACAAAGAUACGCUACAAAGGACUCUGUUUUAGAAUGCAUCAGUCAAACUCGCCUUCAGUCUAGUGGCGUUGUACUCCCAUUUUAACAAACUGCAUAAGUAUAUGAUUAUCAAUCAGUGCCUUCUUUGACCCUGACUAAGCAUUGUGUAUCUCUUAGCAAACUGCAUAAAUAUACUAAUUUGAAGUAUAUUGAUCCGUGCCUUGCCAAUUGCCAUGAGUCAAUGACGUCGAUUGCGCGGUGCUCCAUUCAUAUCCAUUCUGAAUUUCUGAUUUGAUUGUCCUUGGAGUAAAUCUUGGACUGUCUUCAUGUGUCCGAAUCCAAAAUAGUCUUGUGGUUCGUCUGCCUUUCAGCUCAUUUGGAAGGUUCUCAGAGUUGCUGAUCCCACCAUUGGCAGUUCAAGUAUCAAGAGGCCAUUGGUGACAGAAGCUGCAACAUCCAUGGUUAUUAGAUGUACAUGUCAUUUUCUUUCACCCUUUUCCUGAAUAACUUGUUGGCAUUAAGAUGCAUGACACUAUUACCUUCUUCCUGAAUAACUGUGAGCGAGAUGUAUAAAAUAUGUAGUUUUUUAUGUUGAAAAUACUGAAGUAUGGAACAAUGUACUCCUAACUAGGGAUUGUGGUGGGACACAAAACUGACAGUAGCUUCCAUUUUCCUAUAGUAAAUUUUAUUUGUCAUGAUCUAGCUUUGCAUAUAUAAUUUUCUCCGAGUUCCUUACAGAAGCUAUACCAAGUUUUAUAUUUAGUCCCUAGUAUGAGUGGAAACUUUGUAUAACUGCUGUAAGGAAAAACUUGUUCAUAAAACUUUGUAUUUCCCAACACGCCCUGCAUACCUCUCUGUUCCUAACUUUUUUUGUGUGCAUAUCUUUUUCAGCAGGGAAGUUCCCUAAGGCAAGCAGUUGAAGUUUACUGUCUUUUUACACUCACUGGCUUAAGUCUCCCGCGGCACAUGCACGGUCUUAUGACACAACCACUGCCUUUUUAAUAUAAAAUGGUCAUUAGCUGUUAAAGUUUACUGUGAUGCCCUUAGUCUAGUGAUAAAAUGGAGUUCAGCUGAUCAGGUACAAAGGAGCCCCUGAAGUGGAAAGUCAGGUUCAAAAUUGCACUUGGAAUUGCUGAAGGGCUGCUUUAUCUACAUGAAGGCUGCCAUCGCCGCAUAAUUCACAGGGACGUCAAGGCAUCUAAUAUCCUUCUAACUGAAGACUACCAACCUCAGAUAUCAGAUUUUGGGCUUGCAAAGUGGCUCCUUGACAAAUUGACCCAUCAUGUUGUGUAUCCCAUUGAAGGCACAUUCGGCGAGCGUCUAUGCGUUCGGGUUACUAGGACAUGGGACUUCUAUGAUCCUGGAGAUGAUAAAAAACUUCUGCAUUCUGAUCUUGUACUGCUCGAUGAGGAGGUUCAUAAAGCAUGGUUACCACCUUGGCUAGCGGCACAAUAUGCUCAUUACGUGGAUUGAGGGAGAGGAAGCAAAAAUGACUGUAUGGGAGAAUAUGCAGAAAGCUGAAGCAGAAGCAGCCAUACAAAAGCUUGUGAUAAAACUUGAAAAGAAAAGGCCAUACUCGCUGGAGAGGAUUUUCAACACCCUUAGGUCUGGCUCUCGGAAGACACAGGUGGUACGCAGUACAUCAACCGCAAAUCAGAAUCAGCAUAUUUCCAGAACUAUCAAAACGGCGCCAAACCUCAGCAAGAACGGUCAAAUGAGUUCAUUGAGUGGAUGCUUCAGACAGGAUCUAUAGCAUGGAUCAUAAUCUGGAUUGUCCUUAAGUUUUUAUUGUGCUAGGGGAACAUAAGAAAGUAUGUAGAGCAAAAUGAGAGGAGCUGUUGUUACCCUCAAUUCUUUGUGAUUAUUGUGCUAGAGUGAUGUAGUUGUUGGCUUUUGAACAAUAGCUGGAGUGAUAUGAAACAUUAGUGGUCUAGUUGUGAAUGAUAUUAUAAUUGUGAUGCUUUUGUGAAUAUAUAAUUGUGGUGCUUUUGUGU
Zea mays is the source of this 3146-nucleotide long non-coding RNA. RefSeq lists it as uncharacterized. The record is from RefSeq and is a predicted model, not a curated record. NCBI's taxonomy places the organism in Eukaryota, Viridiplantae, Streptophyta, Magnoliopsida, Poales, Poaceae. The transcript has 6 exons.